CAAUGUUAGUUUAAAGAAAAUAAAAACAUAAAAAUAUAAAUAAUCCCCUACUAUAGUAUCACAAGUUAUAGAGAUGAAUAAUAUUGCUAAUUCUAAUAGGGAUAUUUUAGAAAAUAAGUUAUAAUGAUGUCAUUCAAACUUAGAGAUGGCCAAUGGGCCGGACGGCAUGUGGCACGGCACGACACAAACACAUUUCGGUGGGGCACGUGGCACGGCACAGCAUGCACGUGGGCUGGGCCAGGCUUAGAAUUUUGGGCACGUGGGCCUUAAAAGCACGGCACGAUUAUAGAUGAGUUACGCACGACACAAUGAAAAAGCCCGCAAUAAGCAUGUUUUAUUUUUUAAUGAAAGUAAACUU
Molecule: long non-coding RNA, 358 nt
Filed under: Citrus x clementina
Lineage: Eukaryota; Viridiplantae; Streptophyta; Magnoliopsida; Sapindales; Rutaceae
Description: Citrus clementina (C. clementina) long non-coding RNA (CCLE_LNC005709)
Source: RNAcentral